RNAcentral lists this ribosomal RNA (362 nucleotides) under uncultured bacterium. Its description in RNAcentral is "bacterial SSU rRNA". It matches the Rfam family "Bacterial small subunit ribosomal RNA", at positions 541 to 904 of the family's 1533-position model. The record is from RNAcentral.
UUAUCCGGAAUUAUUGGGUGUAAAGGGUGCGUAGACGGGAAGAUAAGUUAGUUGUGAAAUCCCUCGGCUUAACUGAGGAACUGCAACUAAAACUGUUUUUCUUGAGUGCAGGAGGUAAGUGGAAUUCCUAGUGUAGCGGUGAAAUGCGUAGAUAUUAGGAGGAACACCAGUGGCGAAGGCGACUUACUGGACUGUAACUGACGUUGAGGCACGAAAGUGUGGGGAGCAAACAGGAUUAGAUACCCUGGUAGUCCACACCGUAAACGAUGGAUACUAGGUGUAGGAGAUAUUAAGUCUUCUGUGCCGUCGCAAACGCAAUAAGUAUCCCACCUGGGGAGUACGGCCGCAAGGUUGAAACUCAA